GGGGAGUGCGGUCGCAAGGUUAAACUCAAUGCAAUUGACGGGGGCCCGCACAAGCGGCGGGAGCAUGUGUUUUACUUGGACGCUACGCGAAAAACUUUACCUGGGCUCGACAUGCUGGGAUUAAUCUUGGGAAACCAGGAGGAUUGCGUUCGGGUGUAACCAGCACAGGUGCUGCAUGGCGGUCGUCAGCUCGUGUCGUGAGAUGUUGGGUUAAGUCCCGCAACGAGCGCAACCCUCGCUUUUAGUUGCCAUCAUUUAGUUGGGCACUCUAAAGGAACUGCCCCGGUUAACGGGGAGGAAGGUGGGGAUGACGUCAAGUCCUCAUGGCCUUUAUGCCCAGGGCUACACACGUGCUACAAUGGUCUGUACAAAGGGUAGCCAACUCGCGAGAGUGAGCUAAUCCCAAAAAACAGGCCUCAGUUCGGAUUGAAGUCUGCAACUCGACUUCAUGAAGUUGGAAUCGCUAGUAAUCCCAUAUCAGCAUGAUGGGGUGAAUACGUUCCCGGGCCUUGUACACACCGCCCGU
RNAcentral lists this ribosomal RNA (526 nucleotides) under uncultured Nitrospina sp. RNAcentral's name for it is "bacterial SSU rRNA". It matches the Rfam family "Bacterial small subunit ribosomal RNA", at positions 875 to 1397 of the family's 1533-position model. The record is from RNAcentral. Lineage: Bacteria; Pseudomonadati; Nitrospinota; Nitrospinia; Nitrospinales; Nitrospinaceae.